RNAcentral lists this ribosomal RNA (253 nucleotides) under uncultured bacterium. Its description in RNAcentral is "partial 16S ribosomal RNA". It matches the Rfam family "Bacterial small subunit ribosomal RNA", at positions 524 to 776 of the family's 1533-position model. The record is from RNAcentral.
UACGAAGGGGGCUAGCGUUGUUCGGAAUCACUGGGCGUAAAGGGCGCGUAGGCGGCUGUUCAAGUCGGGGGUGAAAUCCCGUGGCUCAACCACGGAAUGGCCUUCGAUACUGGACGGCUGGAGACCGGAAGAGGUGAGUGGAACUGCGAGUGUAGAGGUGAAAUUCGUAGAUAUUAGGAAGAACACCAGUGGCGAAGGCGGCUCACUGGGACGGUAUUGACGCUGAGACGCGAAAGCGUGGGGAGCAAACAGG